RNAcentral lists this unclassified non-coding RNA (249 nucleotides) under plant metagenome. RNAcentral describes it as "partial contains small subunit ribosomal RNA, internal transcribed spacer 1, and 5.8S ribosomal RNA". The stretch from base 201 to 249 matches the Rfam family "5.8S ribosomal RNA", at positions 1 to 49 of the family's 154-position model. The record is from RNAcentral.
UCUCCGUAGGUGAACCUGCGGAGGGAUCAUUACAGAGUUCAUGCCCUAACGGGUAGAUCUCCCACCCUAUGUUAUCAUCACUUUGUUGCUUUGGCGGGCCGUCAGGCCUCGGCUUGGCUACCGGCUCUCGCUGGUAAGCGCCCGCCAGAGAACCCCAAACCCUGAAUAUCAGUGUCGUCUGAGUACUAUAUAAUAGUUAAAACUUUCAACAACGGAUCUCUUGGUUCUGGCAUCCAUGAAGAACGCAGC